RNAcentral lists this unclassified non-coding RNA (403 nucleotides) under Hevea brasiliensis (rubber tree). The record is from RNAcentral. Lineage: Eukaryota; Viridiplantae; Streptophyta; Magnoliopsida; Malpighiales; Euphorbiaceae.
AAAAACUUUGAUUAAUAAGCCCUAAAAAUCAUGCAUACCCAUAAUUUCUGAGAUGAUGAUCAUGAAUGUAAUCAAGCAUACCAAUUAAACCUAUUUGUUAAUUAUGGUACGAUGAAAUUGAGCUUUUCCACUAAAGUCCUGAAAUCUUGUGCGGAAUGUCCAGUUGGGGCAGCAGCCUGCCAAAGAAGCUUUUGGAAGGCUUGGGCCCUUCUUCUUACUCUUCUCCCUUGUUCAUGUGCCAGGAUGAGCUCCAAGCUCUUGAUUCCCCGGGCAAUUUUGCGAUUGAAAAAAUAUAUAUAUACGAAAAGGGGUGGCUUUAAAAGGAAAUAUUUUGACUGACAUAAAAAUGAGAGAAAAUUGAUAGUUAAUAUAUGAAUAACGUCUAAUAAAUAAAAAAUUAAAA